GAAAAGCGGGUUGGGACCUCACCUCGGUGAGGGCUCCAGCUUGUCUGAAUUAUUCACCCAUGUCUUUUGCGCACUUCUUGUUUCCUGGGCGGGUUCGCCCGCCACCAGGACCAAACCAUAAACCUUUUUGUAAUUGCAAUCAGCGUCAGUAAACAAUGUAAUUAUUACAACUUUCAACAACGGAUCUCUUGGUUCUGGCAUCGAUGAAGAACGCAGCGAAAUGCGAUACGUAGUGUGAAUUGCAGAAUUCAGUGAAUCAUCGAAUCUUUGAACGCACAUUGCGCCCUUUGGUAUUCCAAAGGGCAUGCCUGUUCGAGCGUCAUUUGUACCCUCAAGCUUUGCUUGGUGUUGGGCGUCUUUGUCUCUCACGAGACUCGCCUUAAAAUGAUUGGCAGCCGACCUACUGGUUUCGGAGCGCAGCACAAUUCUUGCACUUUGAAUCAGCCUUGGUUGAGCAUCCAUCAAGACCACAUUUUCUUAACUUUUGACCUCGGAUCAGGUAGGGAUACCCGCUGAACUUAAGCAUAUCAAUAAGCGGGAGGAA
Molecule: ribosomal RNA, 544 nt
Filed under: fungal endophyte
Lineage: Eukaryota; Fungi
Description: eukaryotic LSU rRNA
Rfam family: 5.8S ribosomal RNA (bases 169-322)
Source: RNAcentral